This 303-nucleotide long non-coding RNA is filed under the name Oryctolagus cuniculus (rabbit). RNAcentral describes it as "lncRNA (ENSOCUG00000032327.1)". The record is from RNAcentral. Lineage: Eukaryota; Metazoa; Chordata; Mammalia; Lagomorpha; Leporidae.
GUAGCAAACGCCCCAGCUUUCCCCGGUGCCUGCCUGGUGCGUGGGUCUUGCUUACAUGUUAAGACUGCUGUGGCUUUAAGGGACAGAUGACUUCGUGGCUACAGUGCUAAGGAACGGAACAGCAUUUGUCACCGGGAAAGAACCAACCCCUUUUUUUUCCUGGACUACCUGCAGUGCACGGACCACGGGAGCAAACGGCGUUGGAAUAGGUGCCUCCUAAUACUACCUGAGCUGAUGAACACACUGCCCAGAGUGCCACCAGGAGACUGCCGAACGCUGGGGUUUAAAGCCAUGGUUGUCUGA